UUCCUGGUGGUCCAAGGGUUAGGACUCUGUACUUUCACUGCUGAGGGCCCAGGUUCAAUACCCAGUCAGGGAA
Molecule: transfer RNA, 73 nt
Filed under: Bos taurus (domestic cattle)
Lineage: Eukaryota; Metazoa; Chordata; Mammalia; Artiodactyla; Bovidae
Also listed under: 5 other names
Rfam family: tRNA
About the family: Transfer RNA (tRNA) molecules are approximately 80 nucleotides in length. Their secondary structure includes four short double-helical elements and three loops (D, anti-codon, and T loops).
Source: Rfam by way of RNAcentral